AUGCAGUCGAACGGAGAUAAGCGCUGAUGAUUUAGCUUGCUAGAGAUUCUUGUUUAUCUUAGUGGCGGACGGGUGAGUAACGCGUGAGCAACCUGCCUUUCAGAGGGGGAUAACGUCUUGAAAAGGACGCUAAUACCGCAUGACAUUAUGGAGUCACAUGGCUCUAUAAUCAAAGGAGCAAUCCGCUGAAAGAUGGGCUCGCGUCCGAUUAGGUAGUUGGCGGGAUAACAGCCCACCAAGCCGACGAUCGGUAGCCGGACUGAGAGGUUGAACGGCCACAUUGGGACUGAGACACGGCCCAGACUCCUACGGGAGGCAGCAGUGAGGGAUAUUGGUCAAUGGGGGAAACCCUGAACCAGCAACGCCGCGUGAGGGAUGACGGCCUUCGGGUUGUAAACCUCUGUCCUCUGUGAAGAUAAUGACGGUAGCAGAGGAGGAAGCUCCGGCUAACUACGUGCCAGCAGCCGCGGUAAUACGUAGGGAGCAAGCGUUGUCCGGAUUUACUGGGUGUAAAGGGUGCGUAGGCGGUUUGGUAAGUCAGAAGUGAAAUCCAUGGGCUUAACCCAUGAACUGCUUUUGAAACUAUCGAACUUGAGUGAAGUAGAGGUAGGCGGAAUUCCCGGUGUAGCGGUGAAAUGCGUAGAGAUCGGGAGGAACACCAGUGGCGAAGGCGGCCUACUGGGCUUUAACUGACGCUGAGGCACGAAAGCAUGGGUAGCAAACAGGAUUAGAUACCCUGGUAGUCCAUGCCGUAAACGAUGAUUACUAGGUGUGGGGGGGUCUGACCCCCUCCGUGCCGGAGUUAACACAAUAAGUAAUCCACCUGGGGAGUACGACCGCAAGGUUGAAACUCAAAGGAAUUGACGGGGGCCCGCACAAGCAGUGGAGUAUGUGGAUUAAUUCG
RNAcentral lists this ribosomal RNA (904 nucleotides) under uncultured bacterium. Its description in RNAcentral is "bacterial SSU rRNA". It matches the Rfam family "Bacterial small subunit ribosomal RNA", at positions 55 to 953 of the family's 1533-position model. The record is from RNAcentral.